UAAAAGCUGCUUUUCCGCCUCAUAUAAAUGUCUUCAUUCUGGGAGGGGCUGGUGAGGUAGCCAGUCAUAGAUAAGGACCCAGGACCUGUCCUUCAGCUCAUCCCCUCCACCCAAUUUGGGCUAGGCACCCCUACAUCUUGUGUUUUUUCUUCCUAGGUCUUCAAGCAGCUCAGCGUGCAUGUGGGCAGCGUGGCCCUGGCCCUCCAGAGCCUCAGGAAGGCAACACGUUACCUGGCGAAUGGCCCUGGCAGGCCAGUGUGAGACGACAGGGUGUACACAUCUGCAGUGGCUCCUUGGUGGCAGAUACCUGGGUCCUUACAGCUGCUCACUGCUUUGAAAAGAUGGCCACAGCAGAACUGAGCUCCUGGUCCGUGGUCCUGGGUUCUCUCAAGCAGGAGGGGCUGAGCCC
Molecule: long non-coding RNA, 409 nt
Filed under: Rattus norvegicus (Norway rat)
Lineage: Eukaryota; Metazoa; Chordata; Mammalia; Rodentia; Muridae
Description: long non-coding RNA NONRATT003230
Source: RNAcentral